UCAGUCGACUCCUACGGGGAGGCAGCAGUGGGGAAUAUUGCACAAUGGGGGAAACCCUGAUGCAGCCAUGCCGCGUGUGUGAAGAAGGCCUUCGGGUUGUUAAAGCACUUUCAGUAGGGAGGAAGGUAGUGUAGUUAACACCUGCAUUAUUUGACGUUACCUACAGAAGAAGCACCGGCUAACUCCGUGCCAGCAGCCGCGGUAAUACGGAGGGUGCGAGCGUUAAUCGGAAAUUACUGGGCGUAAAGCGCAUGCAGGCGGCCUGUUAAGUCAGAUGUGAAAGCCCGGGGCUUAACCUCGGAAUUGCAUUUGAAACUGGCAGGCUAGAGUCUUGUAGAGGGGGGUAGGAAUUUCAGGUGUAGCGGUGAAAUGCGUAGAGAUCUGAAGGAAUACCAGUGGCGAAGGCGGCCCCCUGGACAAAGACUGACGCUCAGAUGCGAAAGCGUGGGGAGCAAACAGGAUUAGAUACCCCUGGUAG
Molecule: ribosomal RNA, 478 nt
Filed under: uncultured bacterium
Lineage: Bacteria
Description: bacterial SSU rRNA
Rfam family: Bacterial small subunit ribosomal RNA
Source: RNAcentral